Molecule: ribosomal RNA, 465 nt
Filed under: uncultured bacterium
Lineage: Bacteria
Description: partial 16S ribosomal RNA
Rfam family: Bacterial small subunit ribosomal RNA
Source: RNAcentral
AGUGAACGCUGGCGGCGUGCCUAAUACAUGCAAGUCGAACGAUGAAGCUUCUAGCUUGCUAGAAGUGGAUUAGUGGCGCACGGGUGAGUAAUACAUAGGUUAUGUGCCCCAUAGUCUGGGAUAGCCACUGGCAACGGUGAUUAAUACUAGAUACUCCUUCCGAGGGAAAGUUUUUCGCUAUGGGAUCAGCCUAUGUCCUAUCAGCUUGUUGGUGAGGUAAUGGCUCACCAAGGCUAUGACGGGUAUCCGGCCUGAGAGGGUGAUCGGACACACUGGAACUGAGACACGGUCCAGACUCCUACGGGAGGCAGCAGUAGGGAAUAUUGCUCAAUGGGGGAAACCCUGAAGCAGCAACGCCGCGUGGAGGAUGAAGGUUUUAGGAUCGUAAACUCCUUUUCUAAGAGAAGAUUAUGACGGUAUCUUAGGAAUAAGCACCGGCUAACUCCGUGCCAGCCGCCGCUGUAA